GUGGGGAAUAUUGGGCAAUGGGCGAAAGCCUGACCCAGCAACGCCGCGUGAAGGAAGAAGGUCUUCGGAUUGUAAACUUCUUUGAUCAGGGACGAAAGAAAUGACGGUACCUGAAGAACAAGCCACGGCUAACUACGUGCCAGCAGCCGCGGUAAUACGUAGGUGGCAAGCGUUAUCCGGAUUUACUGGGUGUAAAGGGCGUGUAGGCGGUUCUGCAAGUCAGAUGUGAAAUUCCCGGGCUUAACCCGGGCGCUGCAUCUGAAACUGCAGAACUUGAGUACUGGAGAGGAUAGUGGAAUUCCUAGUGUAGCGGUAAAAUGCGUAGAUAUUAGGAGGAACACCAGUGGCGAAGGCGGCUAUCUGGACAGUAACUGACGCUGAGGCGCGAAAGCGUGGGGAGCAAACAGGAUUAGAAACCCGGGUAGUCC
RNAcentral lists this ribosomal RNA (428 nucleotides) under uncultured bacterium. Its description in RNAcentral is "partial 16S ribosomal RNA". It matches the Rfam family "Bacterial small subunit ribosomal RNA", at positions 354 to 796 of the family's 1533-position model. The record is from RNAcentral.